This 669-nucleotide ribosomal RNA is filed under the name uncultured Alphaproteobacteria bacterium. RNAcentral's name for it is "bacterial SSU rRNA". It matches the Rfam family "Bacterial small subunit ribosomal RNA", at positions 56 to 773 of the family's 1533-position model. Lineage: Bacteria; Pseudomonadati; Pseudomonadota; Alphaproteobacteria. The record is from RNAcentral.
UGCAAGUCGAGCGCACCUUCGGGUGAGCGGCGGACGGGUGAGUAACGCGUGGGAACGUGCCCUUUGGUUCGGAACAACACAGGGAAACUUGUGCUAAUACCGAAUGUGCCCUUCGGGGGAAAGAUUUAUCGCCAUUGGAGCGGCCCGCGUUGGAUUAGGUAGUUGGUGGGGUAAAGGCCCACCAAGCCGACGAUCCAUAGCUGGUCUGAGAGGAUGAUCAGCCACACUGGGACUGAGACACGGCCCAGACUCCUACGGGAGGCAGCAGUAGGGAAUCUUGCGCAAUGGGCGAAAGCCUGACGCAGCCAUGCCGCGUGAAUGAUGAAGGUCUUAGGAUUGUAAAAUUCUUUCACCGGGGAAGAUAAUGACGGUACCCGGAGAAGAAGCCCCGGCUAACUUCGUGCCAGCAGCCGCGGUAAUACGAAGGGGGCUAGCGUUGCUCGAAAUUACUGGGCGUAAAGGGCGCGUAGGCGGAUAGUUUAGUCAGAGGUGAAAGCCCAGGGCUCAACCUUGGAACUGCCUUUGAUACUGGCUAUCUUGAGUUCGGGAGAGGUGAGUGGAAUGCCGAGUGUAGAGGUGAAAUUCGUAGAUAUUCGGCGGAACACCAGUGGCGAAGGCGACUCACUGGCCCGAUACUGACGCUGAGGCGCGAAAGCGUUGGGAGCAAAC